CGGCAAGAGCUCAAAUUUGAAAUCUGGCCUCUUUGGGGUCCGAGUUGUAAUUUGGAGAGGAUGCUUCGGGUUCAGCCCCCAUCUAAGUGCCCUGGAACGGGCCGUCAUAGAGGGUGAGAAUCCCGUCUGGGAUGGGUGGUUGUGCCCAUGUGAAGCUCCUUC
Molecule: ribosomal RNA, 162 nt
Filed under: Paecilomyces sp.
Lineage: Eukaryota; Fungi; Ascomycota; Eurotiomycetes; Eurotiales; Thermoascaceae
Description: partial large subunit ribosomal RNA
Rfam family: Eukaryotic large subunit ribosomal RNA
Source: RNAcentral